This is a long non-coding RNA of Diprion similis, 178 nucleotides long. RefSeq lists it as uncharacterized. The record is from RefSeq and is a predicted model, not a curated record. Lineage: Eukaryota; Metazoa; Arthropoda; Insecta; Hymenoptera; Diprionidae. The transcript is spliced from 3 exons.
UUUUCCUUAUCUCUCUCCGUUGACUGAAGAAUAUAAAGACAGUUACCCUUAUGGGCUUAGGUGUGACAACCGAAAAUCGUCGCGCGCUUGCGCCCUCUCAGUUAUUUCAACGGCGGCGUUAUGAACUUAUUCCAGAAAAUCCGAGGCUUACCGACCUCGGCAUGUUGCUGGUUGCAAU